RNAcentral lists this small nuclear RNA (164 nucleotides) under Oncorhynchus mykiss (rainbow trout). RNAcentral describes it as "U1 spliceosomal RNA (ENSOMYG00000069149.1)". It matches the Rfam family "U1 spliceosomal RNA". Rfam says of the family: U1 is a small nuclear RNA (snRNA) component of the spliceosome (involved in pre-mRNA splicing). The record is from RNAcentral. Lineage: Eukaryota; Metazoa; Chordata; Actinopteri; Salmoniformes; Salmonidae.
AUACUCACCUGGCAAGGGAGAUACUGUGAUCAAGAAGGCAUGUCACCCAGGGCGAGGCUCAGACAUUGCACUCUGGCUGUGCUGACCCCUGCGAAUUUCCCAAAUGUGGAAAUCUCGAUUGCACAAUUUAUGGUAGUGGGGGACUGCGUUCGCGCUCUCCCCUG